GACGAACGCUGGCGGCGUGCUUAACACAUGCAAGUCGAGCGGUAAGGCCCUUUCGGGGGUACACGAGCGGCGAACGGGUGAGUAACACGUGGGUGACCUGCCCUCAGCUCUGGGAUAAGCCUGGGAAACCGGGUCUAAUACUGGAUAUGACUCCAUGACGCAUGUUGGUGGGGUGGAAAGCCUUGUGCGGCUGAGGAUGGGCCCGCGGCCUAUCAGCUUGUUGGUGGGGUGAGGCCUACCAAGGCGACGACGGGUAGCCGGCCUGAGAGGGCGACCGGCCACACUGGGACUGAGACACGGCCCAGACUCCGUACGGGAGGCAGCAGUGGGGAAUCUUGCGCAAUGGGCGAAAGCCUGACGCAGCGACGCCGCGUGAGGGAUGACGGCCUGUGU
RNAcentral lists this ribosomal RNA (393 nucleotides) under uncultured bacterium. RNAcentral's name for it is "bacterial SSU rRNA". It matches the Rfam family "Bacterial small subunit ribosomal RNA", at positions 28 to 421 of the family's 1533-position model. The record is from RNAcentral.